Phodopus roborovskii (desert hamster) is the source of this 770-nucleotide long non-coding RNA. RefSeq lists it as uncharacterized. The transcript is spliced from 2 exons. The record is from RefSeq and is a predicted model, not a curated record. NCBI's taxonomy places the organism in Eukaryota, Metazoa, Chordata, Mammalia, Rodentia, Cricetidae.
CAAGAAGGGAGGGCGAGUUCAGGGGGUCGGACGGCUGCUCGCUGCCGCUGGUGCGUGUGGCGCCGGCGAAUGCGGAGACUUCCGGGCAGCUCGGCGAUCUCCGACUCCAGCUCUGCCUUUUCCUCUUCCAGCUGAUCCGUUUCCUGAUGGGCCCCCGGCAGGGCCAGGUCAUAGGAGACAGAAAGGAAGGACCACGGUCAACGACCACACAGAAAGCCUCAGCCGCCCCCACACGCAUCCUAGCUGCUGAUCCACAGACCCUCCCGACGGAGGGGCGUGCCCCUCUGAGAGGGACUCCGGGUGGAGAGAUGGCGCAACAUGGAGCCUCAGCCCCCCAUCUGCGCAAGAGAUGGUUGGGGGAAAGCCAGGCUGGAACGGAAGUCUCUGAUGGGCAACAGCUCCAGGCCUAGUGUGGUGGUGAACACCUGUAAAAUCCGGACACUCAGAGGCUGAGGCGGGGGAAGGAUUGCUUGUUUGUGGCCAGCCGGAACUAAGGACUGUCCUGCCUUAAAAUGGGAGGAAGGGGGCAAUGUAGCUCAGUGAGCAAAGGCGAUCGCCAGCAAGCCUGACAAAUUGAGCUCGAUUUCUGGGGCCCACAGAGGGAAGGGGAGAACCAGGCCCUCUGAAAAUUGUUCUCUGACCUCCCUAUGCGUGCACACCUGCACCCACUCGGACGUAAGAAAAUAGAUAAAUAUUAGGAAUAUGCCUUUUAAAGAGAGCAAAAGAAAAACACUGCAAUUUUCUGAGUGAAUAAACAACGGUUAAGUGUU